CAGGAUCUGUGGUUUGUUUUUGAGAAGUUUUCCUCGAGCUUAGUCCGUUGAUGGAGCGUGGUUAUCAGCAGUGCGUGGAUUAUCGGAGUGCCAGGGUUGAUCCUCCCAAAAAUCAACGUUGUGCAGCACUGGGAACAAGGCACCGACGCUCUUUCCAAGUUCAUUUUCAAGCUAAUCUUAUAAAGAAGGAAUGGAUCGGUCAAACAAUGAUUUGGGCGUCUCGGGUCAGGAUCAUGGGGUUUCGGGGAAUUGGAAAGAGAGGACGAAUGCGGAGAUACUUCAUUAAGCCGUGAAUCGUUUUAAGGGUGGUCAAGCUGGCGUUUCUGGACAAAGCAGUAGAGGCAAGAAUGGAAAGAGAGCCCGGUCUUAUACACGAGAGGAAACGCAAAGAGAGCCGACGAUUGACGGGACCUUAACAGAAAGCAGGAGUAAUGAGGCUCUACCAAUCUAGAUUUAAAAUUUCUUGUGGAUGUGAAUGAGUUGUUGAUAUGGUACAUUCCGCAUGUCAGUAUUCUAAAACUUGAAGGCCUCACUCGGCAUUCUAUUCAGGAAUAUUCCCGCUCGUUGAGUUGACAGCUACUCAUGCUGCAAUACCAUUCUGCUGUCACCUCAUUUUUCUUUGGCAUAAACUUUACCUGUUUAUAUGUAAAGUAGACAGAAGAUUGCAUGCAAGAUAGUUGCUUAGAUGGACAGCAUUGAGAGUGUUGAGAGGUGUUCAUUCUGCAGAGGGUAAAGAAAUUUGUACAGGUGAAGAGCAAAUACUAAUGGAGGAGAUUCGGGGGACUCAAGACGAGAGUUUUGAUGCCAGUCCGAAUGACAACUCAUGGGUGGGAUUCAACGAUCGUUCAUAAGAUACUCGAGGCGACAGUGGCCCUGGCGGAGGAGAUGGUCUUACGCAAGCGACUGCAAAUUUCAUGAGACCACUCCAAGCGACGGUCAUUAAUGGUCCUCAUUGCAGCGGUGGCCAUGACGAGAUGGGUUUCAAUUCUGAGGGCGCUGUUGGAAAUCAUCAAAUCAAAAAAAGAAGCCGCCAAGCGAAUUACUAGCACCGGGAGACGACCUGGAUGAUUUAUGUUGAUAAUGUUUACUUUCAAUGUUUGUGGAAAUUGGAGUUGGGAAACUUCGUAGUUACUUUAUGACCAUUGUUGUGUCGAUAGAUUUUACCCGAGUUGGUUUCAAGGAUGUUACCCGAGAUAAUUUCAAAGAUAACUCUUACGAUUGAGCAAACUAGUAGUGAACAUAAACCUAGCAGGUUUCUAAUUCAGGUAAUCUAUUAGUUGCAAACGAUAAAAUUGCAUUGAAAUGCAAAUUAUAUUUUGAUCUCUUUUCUUGCAACGUGCAGAGUCUCGGCACGGUUUCUGAA
Non-coding RNA from Physcomitrium patens, 1363 nucleotides. The record is from RefSeq and is a predicted model, not a curated record. Lineage: Eukaryota; Viridiplantae; Streptophyta; Bryopsida; Funariales; Funariaceae.